Molecule: long non-coding RNA, 1039 nt
Organism: Hippocampus zosterae (dwarf seahorse)
Lineage: Eukaryota; Metazoa; Chordata; Actinopteri; Syngnathiformes; Syngnathidae
Exons: 4
Source: RefSeq, a predicted model, not a curated record
UAUGUAUAUACACACACAUGUAUAUAUGCUGUGCUCAUUUUAGGAGUACAUGACAUUGGUGUAAACAAGAGUUCAUAAAAUAUGUUGAUAUUGCUUGACAUUUACUAUGCCCCACUUCAAAACGGACCUCAGAGGAAAAGUGAAGGAGUUUUGGUUAUGAAGGGGCGGGGCUGUUUUCACACCCCAAAACGUCACAGUUACGUUGCAGGAAACGAGUUUCUACAGCUACCCUCCCCCACAUCACACUCGCUGACCAUCAAUUAGGAAACGCGCGCUUUGCUACCUGCACAAAAGGAAGGCGUUGAGAAGAGUGAGCGUACGAGUCAGCAUCAUCGAGAAAACCCCAGAAAGUGACAAAUACUUCAGAAUUAAAGCAGAUGGACAAUCCCACUGAAGAUGGUGAUUAUUCUGACUCAAGUCUUUUUGGAUCAGAUGAGGAAUACAAACCAACUAAGACAUCCUCUGAGUCGAGUGAUGACGAGGAGAUAUUCCAUCCAAAGGUAGAAAAAUUGUUCUUAUGAUACAUCCAGUGAAGACUCUACAAGUCAUCAGACAUAUGAAGCAGAGGAGCACAGUCAUGUCUGCAAUUCGUAAAGAAGCCCCAAAAAGGGAAAAGCAUCUCUCCAAAAGAGGGAAGACUGAAUUGGAUGAUUCGAGUCCAGGCGGGGACCCUGGCGGUCCGAUCCUUGGCUGCAGAAGCUAGCUCUUGGGACAUGGAAUGUCACCUCUCUGGCAGGGAAGGAGCCCGAGCUGGUGUGUGAGGCAGAGAAUUUCCGACUGGAUAUAGUCGGACUUGCCUCCACACACAGCCUGGGUUCUGGUACCAGUUCUCUCGAGAGGGGUUGGACUCUCUUCCACUCUGGAGUUGCUCACGGUGAGAGGCGCAGAGCAGGUGUGGGCAUACUCAUUGCCCCCCGCCUCAGUGCCUGUACAUUGGGGUUCACACCGGUAGACGAGAGGGUUGCCUCCCUCCGCCUUCGGGUGGGUGGACGGGUCCUGACUGUUGUUUGUGCAUAUGCACCAAACAGCAGCUCCGCAU